RNAcentral lists this unclassified non-coding RNA (329 nucleotides) under soil metagenome. Its description in RNAcentral is "partial contains 5.8S ribosomal RNA, internal transcribed spacer 2, and large subunit ribosomal RNA". The stretch from base 1 to 120 matches the Rfam family "5.8S ribosomal RNA", at positions 35 to 154 of the family's 154-position model. The record is from RNAcentral.
GAUGAAGAACGUAGCGAAAUGCGAUAAGUAAUGUGAAUUGCAGAAUUCAGUGAAUCAUCGAAUCUUUGAACGCACAUUGCGCCCCUUGGUAUUCCGAUGGGCAUGCCUGUUCGAGCGUCAUUAUAACCCCUCAAGCUCAGCUUGGUGUUGGGGCCUGCUGCACUGGCAGCCCUUAAAAUCAGUGGCGGCGCCAUCUGGCUCUAAGCGUAGUAAUUCUUCUCGCUAUGGAGUCCUGGUGGAUGCUUGCCAUCAACCCCCAAUUUUUCUAUGGUUGACCUCGGAUCAGGUAGGGAUACCCGCUGAACUUAAGCAUAUCAAUAAGCGGAGGA